This 157-nucleotide ribosomal RNA is filed under the name Polymyxa graminis. RNAcentral describes it as "partial 18S ribosomal RNA". The stretch from base 1 to 103 matches the Rfam family "Eukaryotic small subunit ribosomal RNA", at positions 1728 to 1831 of the family's 1831-position model. Lineage: Eukaryota; Endomyxa; Phytomyxea; Plasmodiophorida; Plasmodiophoridae. The record is from RNAcentral.
CAGCAAUGGCCGGAGCGCGGUUGAACUUUUGUAAAUUUGGACGACUAGAGGAAGAAGAAGUCGUAACAAGGUUUCCGUAGGUGAACCUGCGGAAGGAUCAUUAGCGUUAAUUGGUCUUGGUGCCAUGCGAAAAACAUGUGGAUUGUGGGCUAUGUGA